This 117-nucleotide small RNA is filed under the name Marmota monax (woodchuck). Lineage: Eukaryota; Metazoa; Chordata; Mammalia; Rodentia; Sciuridae. The record is from RNAcentral.
GCCAGGUGUGGUGGUGCACACCUGUUGUCCCACCUACUUAGGAGACUAAGGCAGAAGGAUCUCUUGAGCUCAAGAAUUUGAGACCAGCCUGGGUAGUAUAGUGAGAUUCGGUCUCAA